RNAcentral lists this ribosomal RNA (2492 nucleotides) under human vaginal metagenome. RNAcentral describes it as "bacterial LSU rRNA". It matches the Rfam family "Bacterial large subunit ribosomal RNA", at positions 3 to 2532 of the family's 2925-position model. The record is from RNAcentral.
UCAAGUUAAAAAGAGCACUAGGUGAAUGCCUAGGCACCAAGAGGCGACGAAGGACGUGACAAGCUGCGAAAAGCUACGGAGAGGAGCAAAUGUCCAUCGACCCGUAGAUAUCCGAAUGGGGAAACCCACCGUAAGGUAUCCUAUAGCCAAUUCAUAACUAUAGGAAGCGAACCAGGUGAACUGAAACAUCUAAGUAACCUGAGGAAAAGAAAGAAAACUCGAUUCCCUGAGUAGCGGCGAGCGAACGGGGAAGAGCCCAAAGUGUAAAAAGAGACAAUAGCCAGCCAAAUAAUCUGGGAAGAUUAACCAAAGAAGGUAAGAGUCCUGUAGGCGAAAGCGAAGAUAUCCGACACAAAAGAGUACCACGGAACACGAGAAAUUCAGUGGGAAUAUGGGGGGACCACCCCCUAAGGCUAAAUACUACUUGGUGACCGAUAGCGAACAAGUACCGUGAGGGAAAGGUGAAAAGAACCCCGAGAGGGGAGUGAAAUAGAAUCUGAAACCUAGUGUUUACAAGCAGCGAAAGUGGCAUACGCCACGAUCGUGUACUUUUUGUAGAACGGGCCAGCGAGUUACGAUUACUAGCAAGGUUAAGCAUUACAGAUGCGGAGCCGAAGCGAAAGCGAGUCUAAAUAGGGCGAAAGUUAGUAGUUGUAGACCCGAAACCGUGUGAUCUAUCCAUGAGCAGAGUGAAGUUGAAGUAAAAUUCAAUGGAGGCUCGAACCGGGUAACGUUUAAAAGUUAUCGGAUGACUUGUGGAUAGGGGUGAAAAGCCAAACGAACAUGAAAAGGGGGUAGAGCACUGAUUGGUUGCGGGGCAUGCAUAUGUUACCAAAACCUAUCAAACUCCGAAUACCAUAUCAUGCACUAGGGAGUCAGACUAUGUGGGAUGAGCUUCAUAGUCGAAAGGGAAAGAGCCCAGACCAUCAGCUAAGGUCCCAAAAUUAUAGUUAAGUGGGAAAGGAUGUGGAGUUACUGAGACAACUAGGAUGUUGGCUUAGAAGCAGCCACUCAUUUAAAGAGUGCGUAAUAGCUCACUAGUCAAGUGACUCUGCGCCGAAGAUAACCGGGGCUAAACUAUAUACCGAAGCUAUGGAACGAAUAACGUUGGUAGAGGAGCAAUGUAUGAAGGACGAAGCAUAAGCCGUAAGGCAGUGUGGACAUCAUACAAGAGAGAAUGCUGGCAUGAGUAGCGAGAGGUGAGUGAGAAUCUCACCCGUCGAAAACCCAAGGAUUCCUGAGCAAGGCUCGUCCACUCAGGGUAAGUCGGGACCUAAGGCGAGGCUGAAAAGCGUAGUCGAUGGACAACAGGUUGAAAUUCCUGUACCGAUACAAUCGUUAAAGGAAGUGGGGACGCAGGAGGAUAAUAAGAGCGCCCAGUUGGUGAGGCGUGCAAGCGCAAAGUCUGGAGAGUAGGCAAAUCCGCUCUCCGAAAAGGAUGAAGCGUAAUGCGGAUCGAAAACAAGUAGAGAAGCUUAUGACUCCACACUGCCAAGAAAAGCCACUACAAGAGAAGUAUCGCCCGUACCGUAAACCGACACAGGUAGGUGAGGAGAGAAUCCUAAGACGAGCGGAAAAACCUUUGUUAAGGAACUCGGCAAAAUGACCCCGUAACUUCGGGAGAAGGGGAGCCCCUGUAACAGGGGGCCGCAGUGAAAAGGCCCAAGCGACUGUUUACCAAAAACACAAGUUUCUGCUAAGUCGAAAGACGAAGUAUAGGAGCUGACACCUGCCCGGUGCUGGAAGGUUAAGGGAAAAAGUUAGCGCAAGCGAAGCUUAGAACUGAAGCCCCAGUAAACGGCGGCCGUAACUAUAACGGUCCUAAGGUAGCGAAAUUCCUUGUCGGGUAAGUUCCGACCCGCACGAAAGGUGUAACGAUUUGGGNNNNNNNNNNNNNNNNNNNNNNNNNNUAAGGUAGCGAAAUUCCUUGUCGGGUAAGUUCCGACCCGCACGAAAGGUGUAACGAUUUGGGCACUGUCUCAACAAAGGAUCCGGUGAAAUUGUAGUAGUCGUGAAGAUGCGACUUACCCACGCUAGGACGGAAAGACCCCGUGGAGCUUUACUGUAGGCUGAUAUUGGAUUUUGAGAUUAAAUGUACAGGAUAGUUGGGAGACUAGGAGAUCUGGAUGCCAAUCUAGGAGGAGUCAUUGGUGGGAUACCAACCUUUUAAUAUCAAAGUUCUAACCAUAGCCCUUGAAUCAGGGCAUGGGACAUUGUCAGUUGGGCAGUUUGACUGGGGCGGUCGCCUCCUAAAAAGUAACGGAGGCGUUCAAAGGUUCGCUCAGAAUGGACGGAAACCAUUCGUAGAGUAUAAAGGCAAAAGCGAGCUUAACUGCGAGAGCUACAACUCAAGCAGAGUCGAAAGACGGACUUAGUGAUCCGGUGGUACCGCAUGGAAGGGCCAUCGCUCAACGGAUAAAAGCUACCCCGGGGAUAACAGGCUUAUCUCCCCCAAGAGUCCACAUCGACGGGGAGGUUUGGCACCUCGAUGU